Long non-coding RNA from Mesocricetus auratus (golden hamster), 925 nucleotides. RefSeq lists it as uncharacterized. The transcript is spliced from 3 exons. The record is from RefSeq and is a predicted model, not a curated record. NCBI's taxonomy places the organism in Eukaryota, Metazoa, Chordata, Mammalia, Rodentia, Cricetidae.
AUACAUGUUUGGAGGAAGAUGGUGUUUAUAGACUAUCGCUAGCUUAGACUCUUCCAAACCUUUAGCUGGCAUCACAACAGAAGCUGAGGCCAUCAGAUGCACUUCUUGCCUUUGAGAGGGAGCACCCUGGAUCCUUCCAUUGACAAAGCCUCAUCUAAGAGGGAAUUUGAAAACGAGAAGUAGGGAUUCCAUUAAAUCAAGGGCCUGCACAUUUCUCCUCCUCUGUAUUCCACAGAUCCAGAGUAUCAUGGGGGAUUCAUCUGUCUUCUUGAGCAUUUCCUGGCUAGGUGACCGCGGAGGGCAGAAGAGAGAAUCGGAUACCCUGGGCCGGCCAGGAAUUACAGGUGGUGGUGAGUAACCCAACACGGGUGCUGGAAGCUAAGUCCUCUUGUAAGAGCGGCGGGUGUUCUUACCGACCAAGGGCAUCCUUUCCCUCGAAUAAGUCGUAAGCUACAGAAACCUCCAUGAUCUUUUAGACGCAUACCUGUUAACUUGUAGGAGAUGAGAGGAAAUGAAGCAAUAGAAGAUUUAUUGCCCAUCUAGUACCUGAAUUCUUAUAAAUUACACAAUGUUGGAUAACUUUCUGCAGCCUAAAAAAAUGAAUGAUAUCAGCAAUAAAUGUCAUUUGAUAUUUUAUGUGGUAUGUCUAUUACAAUGAUUGGCAACUAUUUAUCAUUUAUCCAAUCAAAUCAGUAUUCCUUCUUUCCUUCCUUCCUUCAUAUCCUUCCUUCCUUUUUUUUUUUUUGUGCAGAGAGCACACCUGGCUACGAACAGAGAAUUAAUGAAACAUACCCCUUACUUCCAGUAAAUAGACAGUUGAUGAGAUAGGGACAAGAAAAAGCCAACUUCAUUUGUUUCCUUUUCUUGGACAUGUAACAACUGAUCAUAAAAAUACAAUGAUAGGCAAUGGGAAAAGUGUAUAUAC